Long non-coding RNA from Ostrea edulis (European flat oyster), 596 nucleotides. RefSeq lists it as uncharacterized. Lineage: Eukaryota; Metazoa; Mollusca; Bivalvia; Ostreida; Ostreidae. The record is from RefSeq and is a predicted model, not a curated record. The transcript is spliced from 3 exons.
UCCUUGAAAACAUCCCUCGGAAUAUCUGAGCUCAUUGUUUACAAAAUAUCCGCGUUUCCGAGAAAUGAAACCUGACGCCUAUCUAUUUUCUGUCAGCUGUUAGACGAGCUGGACCAUAAAAGAAGAAGAACGAGGAGGAGUGGAGAAGAAGGAGUCAACAGACAGGGCCAGUUUUGGGAUCAAGAAAAUGGAGAUUUUACUGAAGAUACUUUGUGUUGGACUUGCUGUCACCCCAGUGUCCUGUUUCGGUAAUCCAUAUCUAUAUAUCUAUCUAUUUAUUUAUCUAUCUAUCUAUUUCUAUCUAUUUCUCUUUAUGGUCAUGACACGUGCGGGGCUCAAACUCUCGAUCUCCCGGUUACGAAGUCACCGCUCUACCACGGAGCUACCACGGCUGAUAAUGACUACCUGCUGUGUAAAUAUUGUUUUUUUUUCCUGAUUUGGAUAACAGCAAUGACGUGUCUUAAAGACGUGCAUAUCAAAAUUACACAAGAAAACAUAGAUAUGCACGGAAUGAAUAUCAAAAUCUCUUUUGUUUUACUUCCGGGAUGUAAGAAAUUUGAUUUGAUCUAAACCUUGGUGAUCUAGUUUGUCGGCGA